This 945-nucleotide ribosomal RNA is filed under the name Sarcophaga uliginosa. RNAcentral describes it as "eukaryotic LSU rRNA". It matches the Rfam family "Eukaryotic large subunit ribosomal RNA", at positions 125 to 897 of the family's 3401-position model. Lineage: Eukaryota; Metazoa; Arthropoda; Insecta; Diptera; Sarcophagidae. The record is from RNAcentral.
CUUUAUGGCAAAUGUGAGAUGCAGUGUAUGGAAUGUCAAAUUUCUAGUAUGAGAAAUUAACGAUUUAAGUCCUUCUUAAAUGAGGCCAUUUACCCAUAGAGGGUGCCAGGCCCGUAUAACGUUAAUGAUUACUAGAUGGCAUUUCCAAAGAGUCGUGUUGCUUGAUAGUGCAGCACUAAGUGGGUGGUAAACUCCAUCUAAAACUAAAUAUAACCAUGAGACCGAUAGUAAACAAGUACCGUGAGGGAAAGUUGAAAAGAACUCUGAAUAGAGAGUUAAAUAGUACGUGAAACUGCUUAGAGGUUAAGCCCGAUGAACCUGAAUAUCCAUUAUAGAGAAUUCAUCAUUAUGAUUUUAAUAUUAAUAAUAUUAUAAUAAUGGUGUGCAUUUUUUCUAUAACGGACAUUGUAAUCUAUUAACAUAAAUAUAUUUAUCAUAAGAUCAAUGAUGCGUAAGUUUAUUUAAAUUAUUUUGCUUGCAAUUUAACAUAGAAUAAAUGCUCUUGAUUUGAUAAAGUGUUGAUAGAUUUAUUGUAUAUAGUGCUUAAAUAUUUAUAUUUUAUAAUAGCAUAUUAAUCAUUGAUUUUUAUGUUUAUUAUAUGCACUUAUAUGAUUAACAAUGCGAAAGAUUCAGGAUACCUUCGGGACCCGUCUUGAAACACGGACCAAGGAGUCUAACAUAUUUGCAAGUUAUUGGGUAUCCAAAACCUAAUAGCGAAAUUAACAUAACUUUAAUGGGAUUAGUUUUUAGAUUAUUUAUAGUCUAUUAWUUCAAUCCCGGGGCGUUCUAUAUAGUUAUGUAUAAUAAUAUUUAUAUUAUUUAUACCUCUAACUAGAGCGUACCUUGAGCAUAUAUGCUGUGACCCGAAAGAUGGUGAACUAUACUUGAUCAGGUUGAAGUCAGGGGAAACCCUGAUGGAAGACCGAAACAGUUCUGACGUGCAAA